Molecule: ribosomal RNA, 253 nt
Filed under: uncultured bacterium
Lineage: Bacteria
Description: partial 16S ribosomal RNA
Rfam family: Bacterial small subunit ribosomal RNA
Source: RNAcentral
UACGUAGGGUCCGAGCGUUGUCCGGAAUUACUGGGCGUAAAGAGCUCGUAGGUGGUUUGUCGCGUUGUUCGUGAAAACUCACAGCUCAACUGUGGGCGUGCGGGCGAUACGGGCAGACUAGAGUACUGCAGGGGAGACUGGAAUUCCUGGUGUAGCGGUGGAAUGCGCAGAUAUCAGGAGGAACACCGGUGGCGAAGGCGGGUCUCUGGGCCGUUACUGACGCUGAGGAGCGAAAGCGUGGGGAGCGAACAGG